Cyanistes caeruleus (blue tit) is the source of this 258-nucleotide non-coding RNA. The record is from RefSeq and is a predicted model, not a curated record. NCBI's taxonomy places the organism in Eukaryota, Metazoa, Chordata, Aves, Passeriformes, Paridae.
CAAGGGCUUCUCCUCACCAGGACAAUGCCUCCAAGCUCCUCCUGGCCCUCAUGGAGAGCAGGCAUGACAGCGAAAAUGCCGAGCGGAUCCUCAUCAGCCUCCGUCCCCAGGAACUGGUGGAUGUGAUUAAGAAGGCCUAUCUGCAGGAGGAGGAGUGUGAAAACUCCGAGGUUUCCCCCCGGGAAGUUGGACACAACAUUUAUAUCCUGGCAUUGCAGCUCUCCCGACACAACAAGUCUCUGCAGCAGCUCCUGAAGC